RNAcentral lists this long non-coding RNA (4428 nucleotides) under Marmota monax (woodchuck). Lineage: Eukaryota; Metazoa; Chordata; Mammalia; Rodentia; Sciuridae. The record is from RNAcentral.
CGUGGUGCGGCGACACGGGGGCCGCGCGUCCGGACGGCCGCCGCCGCCCAUUGUGUGCUGGCCCCGCAGCUGCACGCGCGGCCGCCUCCUGCCCCCGCCACGCCGACACAACCCCUCCCGGCUGGGCCCCCUCCGACGAGCGGCGCUUUCUACUGCGGCUCGGCCUCGGUACCCCGGGCCCGGCGGGGACCCCGAGCCCUGCUCCUCCGCGCCCCACACUCGGGCACACCUCUUCCGGCCAAGUGGUCGCCGGGUAACUCCCAAGUAGAGGCCACCUCUUCUAGGCGGAGACCCUCGGAGCUGGUCACACGCUGUGGGUGCCCAGGGGCCGAGGGCCUGGAAGGUGGUGCGAGGCCACGGGCUGCGCCAGUCACAGGUUCUGCCCUCCGGGCUCUACUCGCUGUCCCUGUGUGGGGCGGGGGUUUGGAUGAGAGCGCAGGUUGUGGUUAACUAGAGAGGGAGUCGGUGCAUCUCGCUUUUGCAGAAGUCACCGCGCUGGAGCACAACGGAAUGCAGAUGUGCAUCCUCCAGCUGUAGCGAGAGAGGGGGUACGUAGUGAGAACCGACGGCCUUUCUGCCUGUGAGUGAGAUGGUGGUAACAUGCGGUACUGCUGCCCCGGACUGUGCCAGCUUUGGCCGACCCUGAUGUGUCCUGAGCACAGCCUAACAGAGCCUUCCUUGCAAGCGCACGGUGCCUGUGGCACUCGCGAGCAAUCCCAGCAACUCUGGAGGCAGACGCAGACCCUUCUGCAAGUCAGAGGCCAGAGGCCAGCCUGAGCGACCAAGCAAGAACCUGUCCCCAAACAAAAAGUAAAGACUGGAGAUGAAGAUGGGUGAUAAAGCGCCCCUGGGUUCAAUCCCCGGGGUGUGUGUGUGUGUAUCCACAGAAUUUUUCUUCUAUCUAUUUAUUUAUUUUAUGUGGUGUUGAGGACCAAACCCAGUGCCUCACAUGUGCUUAGCAUGCGCUCCACUGCUGAGCCACAACCCCAGACCCUACUUUUUUCUGGGGGGUGCUGGGAUUGAACCCAGGGCCUUAUGCAUGUGAGGCAAGCACUCUACCAUCUGAGCUAUAUCACCAGCCCACAAGCCCAGACCCUAUAUCCAUAGAAUUCUUAUAUGGUAUCCUAGGAAUCACCUAGGAAUCUUACCAAUAUCCUUAUCCAGUACUUUUAUAUUUAAGUAUCUUUUUAAAAACUCCUUUAUGCCACCACAGGAAUGGACAGACUGCUGUUAACUCAUUUUUUUGCUUGUCUGUCUGUCUCUCUGACUUUCCAAGUAAUAAACACUUUGCUAUGUAGUAUACCCAGAUUAAACCUGGAACCCCUUGACCUGAGCUCCACCUCUUCCUGUCUAGAUGACUUGAAACAACUUAACCUCUUAUCUCAAUUUCCUCAUCUAUAUAAAGGGACCAUGUCUUCUACCUCUUCAAAGUUGUAAAGGUUAAAUGGAUAAAUAUAUUUAUAAGAUUCUCAGCACAUAGUAAUAUAUAUUAAGUACAAACUAUGUGUCUGGCACCAUUAUGAGUGUUUUAUGUCUGUUAUUUCCAAAUAUGUUCCACAGCUGUGCAGCCACCCAUGAAAGGAAAGUGACUGGCCCAAGAUCAUGCAGCAUACACCUCUUAGCACAGUGCUCAGACAAGAGCCAGUGUUUUUUUUUUUCCCCUCUCCUUGCAAUUUUUUGUUUUGCGGUGCUGGGGAUCCAACCUAGGGUCUCACACAUGCUGGGUAGGUGCUGUGCCACUAAGACACACCCCCAAACUUUAAUGUUUAUUUAUUUAUUUGUUUGUUUAUUUUGAAUUUUUUAAUAUUUAUUUUUUCGUUUUCAGCGGACACAACAUCUUUGUUUGUAUGUGGUGCUGAGGAUCGGACCCGGGCCGCACACAUGCCAGGCGAGCGCACUACUACUUGAGCCACAUCCCCAGCCCCUAAUGUUUAUUUAUUUGUUUUUGGUCCUGGAGAUUGAACCACCAAGCUACAUCUAAACCCUUUUUAUUUUUUAAUUUUGUGACAGGGUCUCACUAAGUUGCUGAGGCUGCGCUCGAACUUGCCUCAGCUUCUCAAGUAGUGGGAUUACUUGUGUGAGCCACCAGGCCCAGCUAAUGUUCAUUCAUGAAUGGCCUUACAAUUCUUUUUUUUUUUUUUUUUUUAAAUAUUGUUAGUUGUUAUUUAUUUUUAAGUGGUGCUGAGGAUGGAACCCAGUGCCUCACAGGAGCUAGGUAAGUGCUGUACCACUGAGCUACAACCCCAGCCCUGGCCUUACAAUUCUUUUAAAAAAAAAAAAAAUUUUAUUUUUUAGUUGUAGGUGGACACAAUACCUUUAUGUUAUUUUUUUUAAGAGAGAGAGAGAAUUUUAAUAUUUAUUUUUUAGUUUUCGGCGGACAUAACAUCUUUCUUUGUAUGUGGUGCUGAGGAUCGAACCCAGGCCGCACGCAUGCCAGGCGAGCGCAUUACCACUUGAGCCAUAUCCCCAGCCCUUUAUUUAUUUAUUUUUAUGUGGUGCUGAGGAUUGAACCCAGGGCCUCUCAGGUGCUGUACGAGUGCUCUACCACUGAGCCACAGUCCCAGCCCCGUGGGUGACAUCCUUGGAGGACAGGAACCAGGUUGAUGGAGUCAUGGUGUCCUCCCGAGGGGGGAAUGGGGUCAUUUGUCCUUAGUGAUGGAAAAGAAGGGAAGGCUUCUAGGAAGGCUGAGGUUUUCUCAGUUAGGACCUUCCAUGGGUCACUCUCCCCUCUUGGCUUAUCCCCCUUCCCACCCAGCCAGCACCCAAGGCACAAUCCUGGAUCAUCCUGUCUGUGGAACUCCCCUCUUUGGUCUCCGGCAUACAACCCAUCUCCUACCCAGGAUCCAGAGGAUUGACAGCAACUCCAGAAAGUUCCAAAACAUUGUGUGACAGGGGCUCACUUGAUACUUUGUGUCCUUGUGGCUUUGAAACUGACACGUUUUUUUCUUUUUCCCAAUCUUUUCCCUAAACUUCUCUUUCCUGAUCUUUUUUCCCUUAUCUUCUUCCUGACCUCCUCCCUGAUCUUCUUUUUUCCUGACCUUCUCCUCCCUGAUCUCUCCUCCCAAAUCUCAUUUUCUCUGAAUGACCUCUAUAAAAGCCCCCUGUUCCUGUGGAUGGGCAGAAUCACAGCCUUUGGGACAGAAGUGUCCCCUGUGUUUUUUCUUUGCUAGCAAAGCAAUAAACCUUUUUCCUUUUUCUCAAAACUAUGUCCUCAUUAUUGGAUUGGCAUUGGGGACAAGGACUGGGCUUUCAGCAAUAAUUGCACCUGCGCCCUUGGCCAAGUUGAAUGUCCAACCCCUCCUGAGGUUAUCCUCAGGGGGGUGGAUUCUGAUUUGUUCCCUAACCCCUCCCUGGAUAUAUUCUACCCUUCCCUGUGCCCUUGAGCCUCGGUCUGGAAGGACCAGCUCAGAGCUCUGUGUCUGAACAACCUUUGGUGUGACCAAGCCUGUGGGUUGGUGUUUCUCAUGCUCUCCAAGCCACCUACUGUAGACAUGUGCUACAUAAUGAUGUUCCUGUCAACUGGGCCACAUGCAUAUGUCAUGACAAUUCCAUCAGAUUAGAGCUGAAAGACUCCUGUCAGCUGGUGACCCUGUUGCAGUUGCCACGUUGUGACAAAACUCAUCGCUCACAUGUUUGUGGUGAUGCUGGUGUAAGCAGACCUGGGCGGUUACAAAAGUAGAGCACACACAGUUAUGUAGACUAUACAGCAGCUCCCAGAUGACAAUGAGCCAUUGUGUCACUGGUUUAUUUAAUGCACUCUUUAACCCUUCCCUGGGAUGGAGUGACUGACAGCACUGGCUAGGUUUGUGCAGAUGCACUUUAUGUUGUUUGUUCAGUGACAAAAUCAGCUCACAGGUGUUUCUCAGAAUGUGUCCCCAUCAUUAAGUGAUACAUGACUACCAUCUGGGUGACCUCAAGCAAGUUGCUUAAUCUCCCGGUUCUUUGUCUAUAAAUAAUACUCCAUAAGUAAUAGUCAUUGCAAUACUGGUUUUGGGGACUUAUGCUGUUUUAAAAGUUCUGAAAUGUUGGUAUUUUGUUGAUAUAAUAUUGCUAAUUUAUUACCUAAAAAUAACCUGGAAUAUGUUUUAUGUUUAUGUUCAGAUUAAGAUCAACAAUUUGGACUCAAUUUAUGUGAAAAUACUCAGUGUUACUCCACAAAUCUAUUCAGAUCCGCCCCUGUGCAAAACAUCCAUAUUGAGCUACUGCAGAGCUUCUGUUAAAGCAUGAGUGUUAUUCUAGGCCAAGGGCUUUUGAAACAAAUGAGUAUGGAUAUGAGAAAAAUGGAAAUUGACCCACGGAAACUGCAUCUCUACUCGGUGAACAUAAAGAAGAGAAAAAGUUUUAAAUAUACUUUCUUGGAGGACAAAACAAUAUGCAGUUCAUUAGCUCAAAAACUGUGCAGAAAAAGUAAAAUAAAAAUGUGUGCAU